UGCCAGCAGCCGCGGUAAUACGGAGGGUGCUAGCGUUGUUCGGAAUGACUGGGCGUAAAGGGCGCGUAGGCGGUUUUGUUAGUCAGGCGUGAAAUCCCUCGGCUCAACCGAGGAACUGCACCUGAUACUGGCGGACUCGAGGACGGUAGGGGCGAGUGGAACUCCAGGUGGAGCGGUGAAAUGCGUAGAUAUCUGGAGGAACACCGGUGGCGAAGGCGACUCACUGGACCGUAUCUGACGCUGAGGUGCGAAAGCUAGGGUAGCAAACGGGAUUAGAUA
This 279-nucleotide ribosomal RNA is filed under the name uncultured bacterium. RNAcentral describes it as "partial 16S ribosomal RNA". It matches the Rfam family "Bacterial small subunit ribosomal RNA", at positions 506 to 784 of the family's 1533-position model. The record is from RNAcentral.